This 194-nucleotide ribosomal RNA is filed under the name uncultured bacterium. Its description in RNAcentral is "partial 16S ribosomal RNA". It matches the Rfam family "Bacterial small subunit ribosomal RNA", at positions 338 to 524 of the family's 1533-position model. The record is from RNAcentral.
CCUACGGGAGGCAGCAGUGGGGAAUUUUGGACAAUGGGCGCAAGCCUGAUCCAGCCAUGCCGCGUGCAGGAUGAAGGCCUUCGGGUUGUAAACUGCUUUUGUACGGAACGAAAAGACUCCUUCUAAUAAAGGGGGUCCAUGACGGUACCGUAAGAAUAAGCACCGGCUAACUACGUGCCAGCAGCCGCGGUAAU